This 277-nucleotide ribosomal RNA is filed under the name uncultured prokaryote. RNAcentral describes it as "partial 16S ribosomal RNA". It matches the Rfam family "Bacterial small subunit ribosomal RNA", at positions 524 to 801 of the family's 1533-position model. The record is from RNAcentral.
UACGUAGGGGCAAGCGUUAUCCGGAUUUACUGGGUGUAAAGGGAGCGUAGACGGUAUGGUAAGUCAGAUGUGAAAGCCCGGGGCUCAACCCCGGGACUGCAUUUGAAACUAUCAAACUGGAGUGCAGGAGAGGUAAGUGGAAUUCCUAGUGUAGCGGUGAAAUGCGUAGAUAUUAGGAGGAACACCAGUGGCGAAGGCGGCUUACUGGACUGUAACUGACGUUGAGGCUCGAAAGCGUGGAGAGCAAACAGGAUUAGAUACCCCUGUAGUCCCUGAG